This 497-nucleotide ribosomal RNA is filed under the name uncultured bacterium. Its description in RNAcentral is "partial 16S ribosomal RNA". It matches the Rfam family "Bacterial small subunit ribosomal RNA", at positions 28 to 507 of the family's 1533-position model. The record is from RNAcentral.
GAUGAACGCUGGCGGCGUGCCUAAUACAUGCAAGUCGAGCGAACAGACGAGGAGCUUGCUCCUCUGACGUUAGCGGCGGACGGGUGAGUAACACGUGGAUAACCUACCUAUAAGACUGGGAUAACUUCGGGAAACCGGAGCUAAUACCGGAUAAUAUAUUGAACCGCAUGGUUCAAUAGUGAAAGACGGUUUUGCUGUCACUUAUAGAUGGAUCCGCGCCGCAUUAGCUAGUUGGUAAGGUAACGGCUUACCAAGGCAACGAUGCGUAGCCGACCUGAGAGGGGGAUCGGCCCAACUGGAAAAGAGAACCGGUCCCGACCCCUACGGGGGGCAGCAGGUGGGAAUCUUGCGCAAUGGGCGGAAGCCUGAACGAGCCAACCCGCGUGGGGGAAGAAGGCCUUCGGGUUGUAAAACCCUUUUUUUUGGGAAGAAAAAAAGGUGAAGAAAACCUUGCAGUUCUGACGGUACCCAAAGAAAAAGCCCCGGCUAACUUCGUG